GGAGAUAGCUCAGUGGUAAAGCACUUGUCUCACAUACAUGAAGCCCUGGAUUCAAUCCCCAGUACCACCA
RNAcentral lists this transfer RNA (70 nucleotides) under Marmota marmota marmota (Alpine marmot). It matches the Rfam family "tRNA". From Rfam's summary of the family: Transfer RNA (tRNA) molecules are approximately 80 nucleotides in length. The record is from Rfam by way of RNAcentral. Lineage: Eukaryota; Metazoa; Chordata; Mammalia; Rodentia; Sciuridae. RNAcentral also lists the same sequence under 1 other name.